This 1099-nucleotide ribosomal RNA is filed under the name Schottera nicaeensis. Its description in RNAcentral is "eukaryotic LSU rRNA". It matches the Rfam family "Eukaryotic large subunit ribosomal RNA", at positions 677 to 1828 of the family's 3401-position model. The record is from RNAcentral. Lineage: Eukaryota; Rhodophyta; Florideophyceae; Gigartinales; Phyllophoraceae.
AGCGCGGGUGCGAGUCGGAGGGUGCAAGCCCGUGGGCGAAGUGAAAGCGAGUGUAAAAACGAGCAGUUUGGGGCGGCAUAAGAUCGUUGAUCUUAAGACCGACCCAGAGCAGUUGCGCUGGGACCCGAAAGAUGGUGAACUAUGCCGGAGUAGGGCAAAGCCAGAGGAAACUCUGGUGGAGGCUCGUAGCGGUGCUGACGUGCAAAUCGCUCGUCGAACUUGGGUAUAGGGGCGAAAGACUAAUCGAACCAUCUAGUAGCUGGUUCCCUCCGAAGUUUCUCUCAGGAUAGCGGGCCGACAAGUUGUUUUGUGCGGUAAAGCGAAUGAUUAGCGCAUUCGGGGGCGUUUAGCCUUCGGGCGAUUCUCAAACUUUCAAUGCGCAAGGGUGCCGCUGCUUAAUUGAGCGGUACCGGUAAAAACGUCGGCCCUGUGGGCCACUUUUGGUAAGCAGAACUGGCGAUACGGGAUGAACCGUAAGCAAGGUUAAGGCGCCAAACUGCCCGCUUAUAGACCCCACAAAAGGUGUUGAUUCAUCGAGACAGCAGGACGGUGGCCAUGGAAGUCGGAAUCCGCCAAGGAGUGUGUAACAACUCACCUGCCGAAUGAAUUAGCCCUGAAAAUGGAUGGCGCUGAAGCGGGCGGCCGACACCUUGCCGUCUGGACAAGAAUUUCAGAUGAGUAGGAGGGCGUGGCGGCCGUGUCGAAGCGCGCGUGCAGACGCGUGUGGAACGGCCGCUAGUGCAGAUCUUGGUGGUAGUAGCAAGUAUUCAAGCGAGAUCCUUGAAGGGCGAAGUGGGGAAGGGUUUCACGCGAACAUUGAUUGGGCGUGAGUGAGUCGUUCCUAAGCCGAGUGGCAAUUGCUAAUUAACGGCGAAAGGGAAGCGGGUUGACAUUCCCGCACACGGAUGUGGAGGCGGCGACGCAUUAUUGGGGCGAACACGCUGGCGAUGGCGCUGGGCAGAGUUGUCUUUUCUGUUUGACCGCUUGCGCACGCAGUGUGGAAUCCGCUUGUCGGGAGAAACACGCGUGUACGGGCAGAGCGCUGGGGCUUUUCCAGCGUCCAGCUCGCCAUCGACGGCCCUUGAAACUUUGCCUGCUG